This 468-nucleotide ribosomal RNA is filed under the name uncultured bacterium. RNAcentral's name for it is "partial 16S ribosomal RNA". It matches the Rfam family "Bacterial small subunit ribosomal RNA", at positions 28 to 507 of the family's 1533-position model. The record is from RNAcentral.
GACGAACGCUGGCGGCGUGCUUAACACAUGCAAGUCGAACGGAAAGGCCCUGCUUUUGUGGUGUGCUCGAGUGGCGAACGGGUGAGUAACAAGUGAGUAACCUGCCCUUGACUUUGGGAUAACUUCAGGAAACUGGGGCUAAUACCGGAUAGGAGCUCCUGCUGCAUGGUGGGGGUUGGAAAUUUUCGGCGGUUGGGGAUGGACUCGCGGCUUAUCAGCUUGUUGGUGGGGUAGUGGCUUACCAAGGCUUUGACGGGUAGCCGGCCUGAGAGGGUGACCGGCCACAUUGGGACUGAGAUACGGCCCAGACUCCUACGGGAGGCAGCAGUGGGGAAUAUUGCACAAUGGGCGGAAGCCUGAUGCAGCAACGCCGCGUGCGGGAUGACGGCCUUCGGGUUGUAAACCGCUUUCGCCUGUGACGAAGCGUGAGUGACGGUAAUGGGUAAAGAAGCACCGGCUAACUACGUG